CUGAGCAGGCCCUCAAUCCCUCUGUUACUGUGUCACUAUACCCCACUCCCUCUAACAUGUAAACUCACUGAGCAGGGCCCUCAAUCCCUCUGUUACUGUGUCACUAUACCCCACUCCCUCUAACAUGUAAACUCACUGAGCAGGCCCUCAAUCCCUCUGUUACUGUGUCACUAUACCCCACUCCCUCUAACAUGUAAACUCACUGAGCAGGGCCCUCAAUCCCUCUGUUACUGUCACUAUACCCCACUCCCUCUAACAUGUAAACUCACUGAGCAGGGCCCUCAAUCCCUCUGUUACUGUCACUAUACCCCAC
Pelobates cultripes (western spadefoot toad) is the source of this 313-nucleotide non-coding RNA. The record is from the annotation of a GenBank genome assembly. Lineage: Eukaryota; Metazoa; Chordata; Amphibia; Anura; Pelobatidae.